GUGCUUGCUUCGGCAGCGCAUAUACUAAAAUUGGAACAAUACAGAAUAGAUUAGCAUGGCCCCUGUGCAGGGAUGACAUGCAAAUUCAUGAAGUGUCCCAUAUUUUU
Cervus hanglu yarkandensis (Yarkand deer) is the source of this 107-nucleotide small nuclear RNA. The record is from Ensembl. NCBI's taxonomy places the organism in Eukaryota, Metazoa, Chordata, Mammalia, Artiodactyla, Cervidae.